Otolemur garnettii (small-eared galago) is the source of this 298-nucleotide non-coding RNA. Lineage: Eukaryota; Metazoa; Chordata; Mammalia; Primates; Galagidae. The record is from Rfam.
GCUGGACACGGUGGUGCGAGCCUGUAUUACAGCUACUGGGGAGGCUGAGACAGGAGGAUUGCUUGAGUCCAGGAGUUCUGGGCUGUAGUGCGCUAUGCUGAUUGAGUGUCCACACUAAGUUCGGCAUCAAUAUGGUGACCUCCGGGAAGCGGGGGGCCACCAGGUUACCUAAGGCGGGUGAACUGGCCCAGGUCGGAAACAGAGCAGGUCAAAACUCCCGUGCUGAUCAGUAGUGGGAUUGGACCUGUGAAUAGCCACUGCACUCCAGCCUGGGCAACAUAGCAAGACCCCGUCUCUU